CCUACGGGCGGCAGCAGUGAGGAAUAUUGGUCAAUGGACGGAAGUCUGAACCAGCCAAGUAGCGUGAAGGAUGACUGCCCUAUGGGUUGUAAACUUCUUUUAUAUAGGAAUAAAAUGUUCCACGUGUGGGAUUUUGUAUGUACCUUAUGAAUAAGGAUCGGCUAACUCCGUGCCAGCAGCCGCGGUAAUACGGAGGAUCCGAGCGUUAUCCGGAUUUAUUGGGUUUAAAGGGAGCGUAGGUGGAUUGUUAAGUCAGUUGUGAAAGUUUGCGGCUCAACCGUAAAAUUGCAGUUGAAACUGGCAGUCUUGAGUACAGUAGAGGUGGGCGGAAUUCGUGGUGUAGCGGUGAAAUGCUUAGAUAUCACGAAGAACUCCGAUUGCGAAGGCAGUUCACUGAACUGCAACUGACACUGAGGCUCGAAAGUGUGGGUAUCAAACAGGAUUAGAUACUCGGGUAGUC
RNAcentral lists this ribosomal RNA (460 nucleotides) under uncultured bacterium. RNAcentral's name for it is "partial 16S ribosomal RNA". It matches the Rfam family "Bacterial small subunit ribosomal RNA", at positions 338 to 795 of the family's 1533-position model. The record is from RNAcentral.